GACGAACGCUGGCGGCGUGCUUAACACAUGCAAGUCGAACGGAAAGGCCCUGCUUUUGUGGGGUGCUCGAGUGGCGAACGGGUGAGUAACACGUGAGUAACCUGCCCUUGACUUUGGGAUAACUUCAGGAAACUGGGGCUAAUACCGGAUAGGAGCUCCUGCUGCAUGGUGGGGGUUGGAAAGUUUCGGCGGUUGGGGAUGGACUCGCGGCUUAUCAGCUUGUUGGUGGGGGAGUGGCUUACCAAGGCUUUGACGGGUAGCCGGCCUGGGAGGGUGGCCGGCCACAUUGGGACUGAGGUAGGGACCAGACGCCUACGGGAGGCAGCGGGGGGGAAUAUUGCACAAUGGGCGGAAGCCUGAUGCAGCAACGCCGCGUGCGGGAUGACGGCCUUCGGGUUGUAAACCGCUUUCGCCUGUGACGAAGCGUGAGUGACGGUAAUGGGUAAAGAAGCACCGGCUAACUACGUG
RNAcentral lists this ribosomal RNA (468 nucleotides) under uncultured bacterium. RNAcentral describes it as "partial 16S ribosomal RNA". It matches the Rfam family "Bacterial small subunit ribosomal RNA", at positions 28 to 507 of the family's 1533-position model. The record is from RNAcentral.